GAAAUGUGAUAAGUAAUGUGAAUUGCAGAAUUCAGUGAAUCAUCGAAUCUUUGAACGCACCUUGCGCUCCUUGGUAUUCCUUGGAGCAUGCCUGUUUGAGUAUCAUGAAAUCUUCAAAGUUAAUCUUUUGUUAACUCAAUUGGUUUCUACUUUGGUAUUGGAGGUCUUUGCAGCUUCACACCUGCUCCUCUUUGUUCAUUAGCUGGAUCUCAGUGUUAUGCUUGGUUCCACUCGGCGUGAUAAGUUAUCUAUCGCUGAGGACACUGUAAAAGGUGGCCAAGGUAAAUGCAGAUGAACCGCUUCUAAUAGUCCAUUGACUUGGACAAUACUUUUAUGAUCUGAUCUCAAAUCAGGUAGGACUACCCGCUGAACUUAAGC
RNAcentral lists this unclassified non-coding RNA (378 nucleotides) under plant metagenome. RNAcentral describes it as "partial contains 5.8S ribosomal RNA, internal transcribed spacer 2, and large subunit ribosomal RNA". The stretch from base 1 to 105 matches the Rfam family "5.8S ribosomal RNA", at positions 50 to 154 of the family's 154-position model. The record is from RNAcentral.